GGUAUCAGAAGUGCGAAUGCUGACAUAAGUAACGAUAAAGCGGGUGAAAAGCCCGCUCGCCGGAAGACCAAGGGUUCCUGUCCAACGUUAAUCGGGGCAGGGUGAGUCGACCCCUAAGGCGAGGCCGAAAGGCGUAGUCGAUGGGAAACGGGUUAAUAUUCCCGUACUUGGUGUUACUGCGAAGGGGGGACGGAGAAGGCUAUGUUGGCCGGGCGACGGUUGUCCCGGUUUAAGCGUGUAGGUGUGUGUUCCAGGUAAAUCCGGUUCACUUUAACACUGAGGCGUGACGACGAGGCACUACGGUGCUGAAGCAACAAAUGCCCUGCUUCCAGGAAAAGCCU
This 341-nucleotide ribosomal RNA is filed under the name Salmonella enterica subsp. enterica serovar Enteritidis. RNAcentral describes it as "bacterial LSU rRNA". It matches the Rfam family "Bacterial large subunit ribosomal RNA", at positions 1278 to 1620 of the family's 2925-position model. Lineage: Bacteria; Pseudomonadati; Pseudomonadota; Gammaproteobacteria; Enterobacterales; Enterobacteriaceae. The record is from RNAcentral.